GACGUAGGGCGCGAGCGUUGUCCGGAUUUAUUGGGCGUAAAGAGCUCGUAGGCGGCUUGUCGCGUCGGCUGUGAAAACCCGCGGCUCAACUGCGGGCUUGCAGCCGAUACGGGCAGGCUAGAGUUCGGUAGGGGAGAGUGGAAUUCCUGGUGUAGCGGUGAAAUGCGCAGAGAUCGGGAGGAACACCAAUGGCGAAAGCAGGUACCUGGACCAUUACUGACACUCAGCUGCGAAAGCUAGGGGAGCAAACAGG
This 253-nucleotide ribosomal RNA is filed under the name uncultured bacterium. Its description in RNAcentral is "partial 16S ribosomal RNA". It matches the Rfam family "Bacterial small subunit ribosomal RNA", at positions 524 to 776 of the family's 1533-position model. The record is from RNAcentral.